UACAGAGGGGGCAAGCGUUGUUCGGAAUUACUGGGCGUAAAGGGCGCGUAGGCGGCCAACUAAGUCAUACGUGAAAUCCCUCGGCUUAACCGGGGAACUGCGUCUGAUACUGGAUGGCUUGAGUUCGGGAGAGGGAUGCGGAAUUCCAGGUGUAGCGGUGAAAUGCGUAGAUAUCUGGAGGAACACCGGUGGCGAAGGCGGCAUCCUGGACCGAUACUGACGCUGAGGAGCGAAAGCCAGGGGAGCAAACGGG
This 253-nucleotide ribosomal RNA is filed under the name uncultured bacterium. RNAcentral's name for it is "partial 16S ribosomal RNA". It matches the Rfam family "Bacterial small subunit ribosomal RNA", at positions 524 to 776 of the family's 1533-position model. The record is from RNAcentral.